Xenia sp. Carnegie-2017 is the source of this 1389-nucleotide long non-coding RNA. RefSeq lists it as uncharacterized. The record is from RefSeq and is a predicted model, not a curated record. NCBI's taxonomy places the organism in Eukaryota, Metazoa, Cnidaria, Anthozoa, Malacalcyonacea, Xeniidae. The transcript is spliced from 6 exons.
UUAAAAAUUGGCAUCAAAAUUUUACAAAAGGCUUAGAUGUCAUAUAUUACUGUUGGUCAUAGGAUCUCUUUCUUGUAUUUCAAUGAUGUUUGUUGGUAAAAAAAAUUGAAGAAGUGUUAGGAUGCUUUGUUCGUGAUUAUUUCCUUGAAACUCAAGAUAAGGUCAAUACUCUUGAAGACAUUCCUCCUCCUGUAAUUGCAACAGGAUUUAGUUAUUGUCUCACCAGUAUAUACAUGAUCUCGUUUUUGUUGCUGUUGAGGAAAAUGAAGUGUUAUUUGGCCAUGUGCACCAUAUGGAGUUGCUUGCUCAAACAAGAAGGUCACGUUCUUAAAUGUUGUUACUUGGCUAUGUGGACCUUAUGAAGUUUCUGGUUCACACAUGACACACAAGAAGAUCACUGUUGCUUAAUGUGUAUGUUACUGAAAUCUUUUUUUAAAUACAUACACAUAUGACAUUUCAUUAAGAAAUUUUAAGAAUUAUCCAAUCACUACCCUUCUCUUCCUAAAGAACAUGUAGUAUGUGUUUCAUGCUGUGUUGUUUUGAAAUUCUUGCAUUUUUAUAAUAACAUUUUUGUAUGACGACAUGUAUAACAAAGUAUAACGAUUGAUGGUUCUAAUCUGAAAGAGAACGGUAUUGAAGUCAGUGUUUUCGGAAUACUCAUUACAGACAGGGGAAUUGUCUAUUUUUUGGUUUUGACUUCUUUUGCCACUCCAUGGAUGAAAAAAAUGACUUCUUCGAUAGUCUGGUUAUAGACCCGAGCUUUUCAGAAAGCGAUGUCAAAGACUCGGAUACUUUAGAAGAAUGCAGGAAUGGUGGCUUAUUGUGUGGCAACAAAAAGAAAACAUCCUUUUGGACAUGAACGGCAUAGACUGGACAACAUUUUGAAUGGAAACCCAGUUGGAUUGAAGGAAAUCAAGGAUGCCACGUUCAAAGACCUUUUAUCGUGAAUGCUACAAGUAUACAUGAUAUUUUCACUGUAGAUAACAAUGUUUAGGUACAAAUGUUCCAAGCUCAAUUGUACAAUCCGUAUUAUGGAAGCAGGAAGCGGGUAAUUAAUUCCAUUUAAUUCAGUAUAUAUCAAAACCAAUUUAUAGUUUAUAAGAUAUACAAAAUUAAAAAUAUGUGUAAGCAUAAUUACAGUUUAGAGAUGAAUUAUCUGACCAGUUAUAAUUCCAAACAAAAUUGAUAUAAUUGCGAAAUACAGUAAAUGUAACGGUAAUGUGCAACUAGAUAAACACAAUAAGUCAUUGAAAAAUGAUCAUCAACCAAAAAGUACCCGACAUAAAUCUUUUCUUUAUGUAACUGUAUGCUUAAUAAUGACAUGUUUACCUUAUAGCCACGCAUUUUUUCGUCCCUUGAAAUACAUUGUUCUAGAUUUGAGAUAACUAA